UACGUAGGGUGCAAGCGUUAAUCGGAAUUACUGGGCGUAAAGCGUGCGCAGGCGGCUUUGCAAGUCAGAUGUGAAAUCCCCGGGCUUAACCUGGGAACUGCAUUUGUGACUGCAUGGCUAGAGUGCGGCAGAGGGGGAUGGAAUUCCGCGUGUAGCAGUGAAAUGCGUAGAUAUCGGGAGGAACACCUGAGGCGAAGGCGGGCUACUGGGCCGAUACUGACGCUGAUGUGCGAAAGCCAGGGGAGCGAACGGG
RNAcentral lists this ribosomal RNA (253 nucleotides) under uncultured bacterium. RNAcentral's name for it is "partial 16S ribosomal RNA". It matches the Rfam family "Bacterial small subunit ribosomal RNA", at positions 524 to 776 of the family's 1533-position model. The record is from RNAcentral.